UCGGGAAUUUUGGGCAAUGGGCGAAAGCCUGACCCAGCAACGCCGCGUGAAGGAUGAAGUAUUUCGGUAUGUAAACUUCGAAAGAAUAGGAAGAAUAAAUGACGGUACUAUUUAUAAGGUCCGGCUAACUACGUGCCAGCAGCCGCGGUAAUACGUAGGGACCAAGCGUUGUUCGGAUUUACUGGGCGUAAAGGGCGCGUAGGCGGCAAUUCAAGUCAUCUGUGAAAUCUCCGGGCUUAACUCGGAACGGUCAGAUGAUACUGCUUUGCUAGAGUGCAGAAGGGGCAAUCGGAAUUCUUGGUGUAGCGGUGAAAUGCGUAGAUAUCAAGAGGAACACCUGAGGUGAAGACGGGUUGCUGGGCUGACACUGACGCUGAGGUGCGAAAGCGUGGGGAGCAAACAGGAUUAGAUACCCUAGUAGUCCCUGAGCGGGGCUGGCAAGGCGCAU
Molecule: ribosomal RNA, 448 nt
Filed under: uncultured bacterium
Lineage: Bacteria
Description: bacterial SSU rRNA
Rfam family: Bacterial small subunit ribosomal RNA
Source: RNAcentral